This 429-nucleotide ribosomal RNA is filed under the name uncultured bacterium. RNAcentral's name for it is "bacterial SSU rRNA". It matches the Rfam family "Bacterial small subunit ribosomal RNA", at positions 355 to 776 of the family's 1533-position model. The record is from RNAcentral.
UGGGGAAUAUUGCACAAUGGGCGCAAGCCUGAUGCAGCCAUGCCGCGUGUAUGAAGAAGGCCUUCGGGUUGUAAAGUACUUUCAGCGAGGAGGAAGGCAUAAAGGUUAAUAACCUUUGUGAUUGACGUUACUCGCAGAAGAAGCACCGGCUAACUCCGUGCCAGCAGCCGCGGUAAUACGGAGGGUGCAAGCGUUAAUCGGAAUUACUGGGCGUAAAGCGCACGCAGGCGGUUUGUCAAGUCGGAUGUGAAAUCCCCGGGCUCAACCUGGGAACUGCAUUCGAAACGGGCAAGCUAGAGUCUUGUAGAGGGGGGUAGAAUUCCAGGUGUAGCGGUGAAAUGCGUAGAGAUCUGGAGGAAUACCGGUGGCGAAGGCGGCCCCCUGGACAAAGACUGACGCUCAGGUGCGAAAGCGUGGGGAGCAAACAGG